RNAcentral lists this ribosomal RNA (437 nucleotides) under uncultured bacterium. Its description in RNAcentral is "bacterial SSU rRNA". It matches the Rfam family "Bacterial small subunit ribosomal RNA", at positions 389 to 842 of the family's 1533-position model. The record is from RNAcentral.
CAGCGACGCCGCGUGAGUGAAGAAGUAUUUCGGUACGUAAAGCUCUAUCAGCAGGGAAGAAAAUGACGGUACCUGACUAAGAAGCCCCGGCUAACUACGUGCCAGCAGCCGCGGUAAUACGUAGGGGGCAAGCGUUAUCCGGAUUUACUGGGUGUAAAGGGAGCGUAGACGGCAGCGCAAGUCUGGAGUGAAAUCCCAUGGCUUAACCAUGGAACUGCUUUGGAAACUGUGCAGCUGGAGUGCAGGAGAGGUAAGCGGAAUUCCUAGUGUAGCGGUGAAAUGCGUAGAUAUUAGGAGGAACACCAGUGGCGAAGGCGGCUUACUGGACUGUAACUGACGUUGAGGCUCGAAAGCGUGGGGAGCAAACAGGAUUAGAUACCCUGGUAGUCCACGCUGUAAACGAUGAUUACUAGGUGUUGGGGGACCAAGGUCCUUCG